This 690-nucleotide ribosomal RNA is filed under the name uncultured bacterium. RNAcentral's name for it is "bacterial SSU rRNA". It matches the Rfam family "Bacterial small subunit ribosomal RNA", at positions 240 to 921 of the family's 1533-position model. The record is from RNAcentral.
AUUAGCUAGUUGGUGAGGUAAUGGCUCACCAAGGCGACGAUCAGUAGCUGGUUUGAGAGAACGACCAGCCACACUGGAACUGAGACACGGUCCAGACUCCUACGGGAGGCAGCAGUGGGGAAUUUUGGACAAUGGGGGCAACCCUGAUCCAGCCAUUCCGCGUGAGUGAAGAAGGCCUUCGGGUUGUAAAGCUCUUUCGCAAGGGAAGAAAACUUAUGAUCGAAUAAAUCAUGAGGUUGACGGUACCUUGAUAAGAAGCACCGGCUAACUACGUGCCAGCAGCCGCGGUAAUACGUAGGGUGCGAGCGUUAAUCGGAAUUACUGGGCGUAAAGCGUGCGCAGGCGGUUUUGUAAGUCGGAUGUGAAAUCCCCGGGCUCAACCUGGGAACUGCGUUCGAAACUGCAAGGCUAGAGUGUGUCAGAGGGGGGUAGAAUUCCACGUGUAGCAGUGAAAUGCGUAGAGAUGUGGAGGAAUACCAAUGGCGAAGGCAGCCCCCUGGGAUAACACUGACGCUCAUGCACGAAAGCGUGGGGAGCAAACAGGAUUAGAUACCCUGGUAGUCCACGCCCUAAACGAUGUCAACUAGUUGUUGGUAGAGUAAAAUCUAUGAGUAACGUAGCUAACGCGUGAAGUUGACCGCCUGGGGAGUACGGUCGCAAGAUUAAAACUCAAAGGAAUUGACGGGGCCC